CUAUAUAAGGAGCGAGGUGGAGGUUGAACGCCGCCAUUGCUCCGCUAUCGCGCGCCCUUGACGCAGUUGUCCUGAGGGAGGAAACAUUUUAAAAAAAUCCCCCCCCUAAAACCAUUAGACGGCUGUUGUCGAUUACGCCCUUUGUCGUCGUUUUGUUAAUAACAAUAAACAAACAAUCGCCGUGAAGAUGUCCGCGUUGGCUGUGAUGCGCGGCCUGGCGGGCCUCAGACGCCCCCUGACGCGAUCGGUCUCCUCGCUGCCCGCGGAGCACGCGAUUGGUGGAGCGGGGACGGUGAUCGGGCUGGGAGCGAUGGCAGCCACGCUGCUGAUCCCCAGCUGCUGGGUGCUGUGCCACAUGGAGUACUACAAGAAGCGGGAGUGAGACGCAUUAACGAGGACGGACGAGGAGGAGGAGGAGGAGGAGGGAGACGUGGGUGAGGAGAGAUGGAGACCCCCGGGGGGGAGGCGAAGAGGAGAUGGACAAAUCCCCUACCAGCCACUCGCCCCGGCUUGCAUCCA
Molecule: non-coding RNA, 519 nt
Organism: Petromyzon marinus (sea lamprey)
Lineage: Eukaryota; Metazoa; Chordata; Hyperoartia; Petromyzontiformes; Petromyzontidae
Source: RefSeq, a predicted model, not a curated record